Molecule: transfer RNA, 83 nt
Filed under: Candidatus Vidania fulgoroideorum
Lineage: Bacteria; Pseudomonadati; Pseudomonadota; Betaproteobacteria
Description: tRNA-Ser
Rfam family: tRNA
About the family: Transfer RNA (tRNA) molecules are approximately 80 nucleotides in length. Their secondary structure includes four short double-helical elements and three loops (D, anti-codon, and T loops).
Source: RNAcentral
GAAGAUGUGACAGAGUGGUUUAAUGUGUCUGACUUGAAAUCAGAAUCGGUUUACCGACGUAGGUUCGAAUCCUAUCAUCUUCU